This is a non-coding RNA of Saprolegnia parasitica CBS 223.65, 71 nucleotides long. The record is from the annotation of a RefSeq genome assembly. Lineage: Eukaryota; Oomycota; Saprolegniomycetes; Saprolegniales; Saprolegniaceae.
GCACCAAUGGUUUGGUGGCAAAACAGCUAGUUCCCAUUUAGAUGCCCCGAGUUCGAUUUCCCGUUGGUACA